RNAcentral lists this ribosomal RNA (484 nucleotides) under uncultured bacterium. RNAcentral describes it as "partial 16S ribosomal RNA". It matches the Rfam family "Bacterial small subunit ribosomal RNA", at positions 29 to 507 of the family's 1533-position model. The record is from RNAcentral.
AUUGAACGCUGGCGGCAGGCCUAACACAUGCAAGUCGAGCGGAAGAAGGGAGCUUGCGCCUGGAUUCAGCGGGGGAAGGGGGAGUAAUGCCUAUGAGUAUGCCUGGUAGGGGGGGAGAACGUCCGGAAACGGGCGCUAAUACCGCAUACGUCCUGAGGGAGAAAGAGGGGGGGGGUCGGACCGCUCGCGCUCAGGGGAGUGUAGGUCGGAUUAGCUAGUUGGUGGGGGGAAGGCCUACCAAGGGGAGGAUCGGCAAGUGGUCUGAGAGGAUGAUCAGUCACCCUGGAACUGAGCCACGGUCCAGGGUCCUACGGGAGGCAGCAGUGGGGAAUGUUGGACAAUGGUCGAAAGCCUGAUACAGCCAUGCCGCGCGUGUUAAGAAGGUCUUCGGAUUGUAAAGCACUUUUAGUUGGGAGGAAGCGCUUUAAGUUAAUACCUUGCUGUUUUGACGUUACCAGCAGAAUAAGCACCGGCUAACUACGUG